GGGAUAUAGCUUAGUUGGUAGAGGACUUGCCUUGCAUGCACAAAGCCCUGGGUUCUAAUCCCCAGAUCUCA
This 71-nucleotide transfer RNA is filed under the name Marmota monax (woodchuck). RNAcentral describes it as "tRNA.Ala". The record is from RNAcentral. Lineage: Eukaryota; Metazoa; Chordata; Mammalia; Rodentia; Sciuridae.